GAGUUUGAUCUUGGCUCAGAACGAACGCUGGCGGCGUGGAUAAGACAUGCAAGUCGCACGGGACUUAUUUUGUAGCAAUACGAAGUAAGUUCAGUGGCGCAAGGGUGCGUAACACGUGAAUCAUCUGCCGAGAAGUGGGGCAUAGCUCGCCGAAAGGCGAAUUAAUACCGCAUGUGGUCGCAAGACUAAAGCCGCAAGGCGCUUCCCGAUGAGUUCGCGGCCUAUCAGCUAGUUGGCGGGGUAAAAGCCCACCAAGGCUAUGACGGGUAGCUGGUCUGAGAGGACGACCAGCCACACUGGGACUGAGACACGGUCCAGACACCUACGGGUGGCAGCAGUCGAGAAUUUUUUCUCAAUGGGGGAAACCCUGAAGGAGCGACGCCGCGUGGAGGAUGAAGGUCUUCGGAUUGUAAACUCCUGUCAUUGAUGAACAAAGCCCUUCAAUGGGUCUGAUAGUAAUCGAAGAGGAAGAGACGGCUAACU
Molecule: ribosomal RNA, 483 nt
Filed under: uncultured Spartobacteria bacterium
Lineage: Bacteria; Pseudomonadati; Verrucomicrobiota; Spartobacteria
Description: bacterial SSU rRNA
Rfam family: Bacterial small subunit ribosomal RNA
Source: RNAcentral